Molecule: ribosomal RNA, 1124 nt
Filed under: Alkalibacterium gilvum
Lineage: Bacteria; Bacillati; Bacillota; Bacilli; Lactobacillales; Carnobacteriaceae
Description: bacterial LSU rRNA
Rfam family: Bacterial large subunit ribosomal RNA
Source: RNAcentral
GUUAAGUGAAUAAGGGCGCACGGUGGAUGCCUUGGCACUAGGAGCCGAUGAAGGACGGGACGAACACCGAUAUGCUUUGGGGAGCUGUAAGUAAGCGUUGAUCCAAAGAUUUCCGAAUGGGGGAACCCAUCACUUUUCAUCAAGUGAUAUAUCUAUAGUGAAUACAUAGCUAUAGAUAAGGUAGACGUGGGGAACUGAAACAUCUCAGUACCUGCAGGAAGAGAAAGCAAAAUGCGAUUCCCCGAGUAGCGGCGAGCGAAACGGGAAGAGGCCAAACCAAAAGGCUUGCCUUUUGGGGUUGUAGGACCGGCGAUAUGGACGAGUAAGACUAGCAGAAAUAACUGGAAAGUUAUGCGAGACAGGGUGAAAGCCCCGUAUGCGACAGUCGACCUUACCUAGCUGGUAUCCUGAGUACGGCGGAACACGAGAAAUUCCGUCGGAAUCCGGGAGGACCAUCUCCCAAGCCUAAAUACUUCCUAGUGACCGAUAGUGAACCAGUACCGUGAGGGAAAGGUGAAAAGAACCCCGGAAGGGGAGUGAAACAGCACCUGAAACCGUGUGCUUACAAGUAGUCAGAGCCCGUUAAUGGGUGAUGGCGUACCUUUUGUAGAAUGGACCGGCGAGUGACGAUGUCAUGCAAGGUUAAACCGAAGAGGUGGAGCCGCAGCGAAAGCGAGUCUGAAUAGGGCGUAGAGUAUGCCGUCGUCGACCCGAAACCAAGUGACCUACCCAUGUCCAGGGUGAAGGUGUGGUGAAACGCACUGGAGGCCCGAACCCAAGUAUGUUGAAAAAUGCUGGGAUGAGGUGUGGGUAGCGGAGAAAUUCCAAUCGAACUUGGAGAUAGCUGGUUCUCUCCGAAAUAGCUUUAGGGCUAGCCUCGGAUAAUAUGCAUCGUGGAGGUAGAGCGACUGUUUGGACUAGGGGCCCUUAUCGGGUUACCGAAUCCUGAUAAACUCCGAAUGCCACAGAUGUAGAUCCGGGAGUCACACUGCGAGUGAUAAGAUCCGUAGUGGAAAGGGAAACAGCCCAGACCGUCGGCUAAGGUCCCCAAAUUCUUGUUAAGUGGAAAAGGAUGUGGGGCUGCUUAGACAACUAGGAUGUUGGCUUAGAAGCAGCCAUCAUUU